GAUGAACGCUGGCGGCGUGCCUAACACAUGCAAGUCGAGCGAACAGAUAAGGAGCUUGCUCCUUUGACGUUAGCGGCGGACGGGUGAGUAACACGUGGGUAACCUAUCUAUAAGACUGGAAUAACUCCGGGAAACCGGGGCUAAUGCCGGAUAACAUGUUGAACCGCAUGGUUCUACAGUGAAAGGCGGCUUUGCUGUCACUUAUAGAUGGACCCGCGCCGUAUUAGCUAGUUGGUGAGGUAACGGCUCACCAAGGCAACGAUACGUAGCCGACCUGAGAGGGUGAUCGGCCACACUGGAACUGAGACACGGUCCAGACUCCUACGGGAGGCAGCAGUAGGGAAUCUUCCGCAAUGGGCGAAAGCCUGACGGAGCAACGCCGCGUGAGUGAUGAAGGUCUUCGGAUCGUAAAACUCUGUUAUUAGGGAAGAACAAAUGCGUAAGUAACUGUGCGCGUCUUGACGGUACCUAAUCAGAAAGCCACGGCUAACUACGUG
Molecule: ribosomal RNA, 497 nt
Filed under: uncultured bacterium
Lineage: Bacteria
Description: partial 16S ribosomal RNA
Rfam family: Bacterial small subunit ribosomal RNA
Source: RNAcentral